Molecule: long non-coding RNA, 1330 nt
Filed under: Homo sapiens (human)
Lineage: Eukaryota; Metazoa; Chordata; Mammalia; Primates; Hominidae
Description: long intergenic non-protein coding RNA 1643
Source: RNAcentral
ACCCAGUGUCAGAAACAGGCAGCCUGACUAGAGAACAAACUACCAAUUAACGAGCGAGGAAACAGGGCCAGAGAAUUGGAACAAAAUACAAGGCUGCCUCUGAAAGGAAUAUCUUUGUGCUGAUGUGUCCAUCAAGAGAACAUACACAGAAGUGACACUUGCCAGUAAUUUGCAAGCAGAUGGAACUUCAAUAUGGCAAUAGAGAAAGAAUCAAUUAGACCAGAGUCUCCUCAGGAAGACUUUCUAUAGAUAUCUGGUGAGCAUCUGCUAGAUGCCAGGGUUGGGGAGAGUCAAGUUGAAGCAAGCAUGAACCCUCAAGGACCUACCAUUUCAAGGCAAGAAAUAGAUACAAAUACAGCGUAAUUAUCUCUCCAAUUAAAGAGCAACCAAGGGACAACUGAACUGGAGGUUCUGCAGAAUUACAACUAAGCACGCAGCCGAGGAAUCUACUCAGCUUUGAUCUCUUAUCGCUCUGCACACACAGCCCUUUCUCUGUAAGGCUAGCUGCUCUCAGCAUCACUGUGUCUAAUCAAACGUGUCACACCUCCACUGAGAAAAUAUUUACUGGAUAGCUACUAGACAUAAGGAUGCAGAAAUGAAUUAGAAAAAUUCCUCGCCCUUGUUCAAAGCUAUGCUGGCUCUUAGAACAUCUGAGCCCCCACUGUUUCAUCUUUAGAGGAUCCCAGCUGCUGGGGUGUGAGGCCAGUGCUGGAGCCAGCAGUCUCUGACCCAGAAGGGACCUGAGGUGCUAAAGAAAAGGGUACAAGCUGGAAAAGGGGAAAAUGAAUCAUGCUACAGGCCAAGUGUCCAUCACUGAUUCCCAGAGAUGCCCUUUGUGUGGUAGGCACUUCCAUGUGGACUCGCUACAGAGGUACAUGCAUAGGUCCAAGAUAGGCGUCCCUCAGCUCAUGGCCUAUAUUCCAGCUUGUAGACUUUUGCUAAGGAUGACCCCUCACCAGUAACCAGCUCUGGUCCCAAGCUCCUGGCUGCAGUCUUUAGUGUCCACAAACCCACAGAGGCUCAUCAUCCUCAACUGUGGGAGUGCACCUUUUCCUGCUGGUUCCUCCUCGUUGCCCUGGUAUUUCUCCAAAUGUUGUUCUCCCUCUGCUCAAAUAGGCAUGGAGCAGGGGCAGAUCAGAAAGUAUGAUGUCCAGCCAUCCUCCAACCAAAGAACAAAGUGCUAGACUAUCAUCAUUGCACGUACCCCCAGUCUCUACUGGGGAUGCCUAAGAGUCUUCCUUUCAUGUUGUGAAAUGAGGAGUGACUCUUCUGCUCCCAUUGUGGGGAGGAAGGGAAUAAAUAGACCCCCACACAUGUCAUUGUCCUGCUG